RNAcentral lists this ribosomal RNA (274 nucleotides) under uncultured bacterium. RNAcentral's name for it is "partial 16S ribosomal RNA". It matches the Rfam family "Bacterial small subunit ribosomal RNA", at positions 523 to 796 of the family's 1533-position model. The record is from RNAcentral.
AUACGGAGGGGGUUAGCGUUGUUCGGAAUUACUGGGCGUAAAGCGCACGUAGGGGGACUGGAAAGUUGGGGGUGAAAUCCCGGGGCUCAACCCCGGAACUGCCUCCAAAACUUCCAAUCUAGAGAUCGAGAGAGGUGAGUGGAAUUCCAAGUGUAGAGGUGAAAUUCGUAGAUAUUUGGAGGAACACCAGUGGCGAAGGCGGCUCACUGGCUCGAUACUGACGCUGAGGUACGAAAGCGUGGGGAGCAAACAGGAUUAGAAACCCUAGUAGUCC